RNAcentral lists this ribosomal RNA (288 nucleotides) under Shigella flexneri. Its description in RNAcentral is "partial 23S ribosomal RNA". It matches the Rfam family "Bacterial large subunit ribosomal RNA", at positions 2655 to 2925 of the family's 2925-position model. The record is from RNAcentral. Lineage: Bacteria; Pseudomonadati; Pseudomonadota; Gammaproteobacteria; Enterobacterales; Enterobacteriaceae. RNAcentral also lists the same sequence under 1 other name.
UGGAGAACUGAGGGGGGCUGCUCCUAGUACGAGAGGACCGGAGUGGACGCAUCACUGGUGUUCGGGUUGUCAUGCCAAUGGCACUGCCCGGUAGCUAAAUGCGGAAGAGAUAAGUGCUGAAAGCAUCUAAGCACGAAACUUGCCCCGAGAUGAGUUCUCCCUGACCCUUUAAGGGUCCUGAAGGAACGUUGAAGACGACGACGUUGAUAGGCCGGGUGUGUAAGCGCAGCGAUGCGUUGAGCUAACCGGUACUAAUGAACCGUGAGGCUUAACCUUACAACGCCGAAG